Molecule: non-coding RNA, 1143 nt
Organism: Carcharodon carcharias (great white shark)
Lineage: Eukaryota; Metazoa; Chordata; Chondrichthyes; Lamniformes; Lamnidae
Source: the annotation of a RefSeq genome assembly
UGUCAGACCAACCGAAUACACUGAACCAGGCCGACCGAGUUGAAAAUGCGGGGAGUGUUCUGCACCUUUCUCCUGAUUGCCCUACAAAUGGAUCCAGUGUUAACGAACGCUAAUCUGAUAAUUGAACAAGCAAUUGUGAAUGGUCGAGAGGGAGAAACGGUGAGACUGGAAUGUCUAAGCAGCAGGAAAGAUGAUGAUCGCCGAAUAAAAUGGGGUUAUGUACUACCUAACUCUACCAUCAAAUGGCUCCUGUCCUUGAGCCCGGGGUCUGCAAACUUUACUCGAAUGUCAGGGAUCGAACCCCGUUUCUCUGGCACCAAUGAGAGCAAAUUAACUUUAAAAAUCGACAACUUGAAGCAGAAAGAUUCAACCAACUAUUACUGUCAGAGUAACGAUGCUAAUCAAAAAGCUAAUGACUGGUGUGGGUGUGGAAUUACCCUGAGGGUGAAACCAGCCAUCACACCUUUAGUUUAUCUUCUUUAUCCAUCACCUGAGAAAGCGUCCCAGCAGACUGACAGAAAACUCGUUUGCGUGGUGAGCGAUUUCUAUCCGGAGACUGUCUCUGUUUCUUGGUAUAUUGGCAGCACCCGGCUAUCUUCGGGGAUCUCUAAUUCAGGGAUGCUGAUGGCAUCUGAAGACAGUUUCACCAUUAUCAGUGAACUGACAGUAUCAAUACUUGAGUGGAUCAGUGGGCUUCGUUACACCUGCGUUGUUUCACACAAAGCCCUGUCUUCCCCCAUCAGAAAAGUGAUCAGUAUUGAUGAUCCGAUUCCACCAUCCAUCUAUGUUUUGCCACCAACCUUUGCAGAGAUUGAUGUGAAGAAGACAGCAACAAUUGUGCGUCUAGCUGUUGGAUUUUAUCCUGAAAGCAUUUUCUUUAGGUGGCUGGUUAAUAACCAGGUGAAGGCAACUUUCAAUUCGCAAUCUCUUCCACCGAUUCUAAAUACAAAUGGGAGCUACACUUCCAGAAGUGAGUUUACAGUUGUGCAGAUGAGUGGGAGUCUGGCUCUGUGUACACUUGCGAGAUUCAACAUGUUUCAUUGUCAUUUCCUGUGAGACACAGUUUGAGGAAAAGGAAUGAUGGUUAUAUUCAGGAGCCUGUGAUCCGCCUUAUCUCCCCCCCAUUUGACCCAGUCUCUGCAG